Molecule: long non-coding RNA, 214 nt
Filed under: Hordeum vulgare
Lineage: Eukaryota; Viridiplantae; Streptophyta; Magnoliopsida; Poales; Poaceae
Description: long non-coding RNA (HVUL_LNC021609)
Source: RNAcentral
UCCUACUACUACUACUACUACUACUACUACUACUACUACUACAACUACUACUACUACUACUACUACUACUACUACUACUACUACUACUACUACUACUACUACUACUACUACCACUACCACUACUACUACCACUACCACUACUGCUCCUGCUACUGCUACUACUACCACUACUACUACCACUACUACUACCACUACUACUACCACUACUACUACU